UGUCUUCAGGCUCUAGAACCCGAAGGCCAAGACGUGUUUCUUCCUCGACUGCAGUCGCGAGAUAAAGAAGUCAGUAGCGCGCCCAACACACAUUAAUAUAUUUUACUUCCCGGCCAAGGUCGACCGACGUAGUUAGCUUAUUAAUUACUUGGCAUGCGCGCCAUAUAGGCUUGGUAGUUUUUAGGGUCAACAUUUUGGCACGCUCGGUGGGACCCAUGCUAAAGCUACGAAGUUCAUAUGAUAUAUCAAGAUGUCAAUCUGACUCUGUUUAGCCGACAUGACCGGAUCCUUGAAGCAUGUGAAGAAAGGAAAAAAUCAUUCUCUUAAAUGAUAAAGGUGAAGGUUCAUCGCAGCUUACAAGAUCAAUUGUUAAAAGAAAAUAGAGCUCGAUUUAAUGUCUUGCUAGAUGGAGAACAUUUUCCUUAUGUUUUCAACUACAAAUCAAUUCCAUUUGAAGAAUGGUUGGUUGAAAAGACUGGGGUCAAUUUUACGCUCCGACCACAAUCAAAAUUAGGCCUAAGAAAAUUGUCAAGACGGCCGAAGAAAAACCUAGGCCACCUAUUUUUCUGUCAAGACUGAAAAUGUGGUAGGCCUAGAAGAAAAGGUUCAAGUUUCUAAGUCAAAAAUCGACUCAAAAAAUGAUUCGUCAGAUGAGUGUUCCAAUGACAAACAUGACCGAUACACGGCUUCAGACCAUAAAACCACAUCAAUUGAUAUGGUAAUUGGAGACAUGGUCUUAGACACCGAAACUACGUCAAUCGAUAUGAUUAUUGGCCAUAAAGCCAAUAUGAAGAAAUCCCGUUCAUCUAAGUUGUUAGAGUUAAAAGUCGAAAUUGGCCAAAUUAUUAUGCCCGGGGGGCUAAAUAAUUAUUCAACGCAUUCGACGACUGAAAAUAAAAAAUAUUUCGCCAAGUCAAAAGUUUUGGAAGUGAUUCUUUAUUCGGCCUAAAGCGAGAUCAAAGUGAGAAUUUUGAUACAAAAAGAUCCCACCUCGGACUAAAGCAUCGUUAGCCUCCUCCUCUUUAUAGUUCAACCAUUUUCAUUUUCUUUUGCUAAAAAAAAAAUAGAUGAAUAAAUUAUUUUCUUAACCAUUCGGUCUUUCAGACCAAUAUUUAAGAAAAUAUCGAGCCCUUGACAUAGUCUAAUCCAAACCGAUUUUCCCACAUACCAAUAUCAUUGCAUUUCGUCAUUGCUCCCAUAUGACGAAAGCGAGAAGUUUGUUUACCUGAAUAUUAAUUAUCACUGUUUGGCAGCAGAGAUAAUAGCGUCAAAAACUUAACCUCACAUCGCAAAUAGGUUAAUGGAAAGCAUUUAGUAUUAUUACCUAGUAUCAUGAAGCAAAUUGGAAGCCUGGAAAUCAACCAAGGUAAAUGUUGACAUAACUAUCAAUUCAUCUUUCAAAUUGACUCUAUCAGCAAUUUUGUCAUAUAAAACUGUUGACCCUAAAAACUACUAAGCCUACGUGGCCCGCAGGCCGCUUAACUAAUAAGCUAACUACGUCAUUCGGUUGUUUGCGGGGCGUG
This 1523-nucleotide long non-coding RNA is filed under the name Malus domestica (apple). Its description in RNAcentral is "long non-coding RNA (MDOM_LNC002414)". Lineage: Eukaryota; Viridiplantae; Streptophyta; Magnoliopsida; Rosales; Rosaceae. The record is from RNAcentral.